CUGAGAGGGCGACCGGCCACACUGGAACUGAGACACGGUCCAGACUCUACGGGAGGCAGCAGUGGGGAAUCUUCCGCAAUGGGCGCAAGCCUGACGGAGCAACGCCGCGUGAGCGAAGAAGGCCUUCGGGUUGUAAAGCUCUGUCCCGGAGGAAGAACAAAUGACGGUACCCCGGGAGGAAGCCCCGGCUAACUACGUGCCAGCAGCCGCGGUAAAACGUAGGGGGCGAGCGUUGUCCGGAAUUACUGGGCGUAAAGGGCGUGUAGGCGGUUGCGCAAGUCAGUAGUGAAACCCGCCGGCUUAACCGGCGGCUGGCUACUGAAACUGCGCGACUUGAGUGCAGUAGAGGGGAGUGGAAUUCCCAGUGUAGCGGUGAAAUGCGUAGAUAUUGGGAGGAACACCAGUGGCGAAAGCGGCUCCCUGGCCUGUAACUGACGCUGAGGCGCGAAAGCGUGGGUAGCAAACAGGAUUAGAUACCCUGGUAGUCCACGCCGUAAACGAUGGGUGCUAGGUGUUGCGGGUAUCGACCCCCGCAGUGCCGCAGUUAACGCAAUAAGCACCCCGCCUGGGGAGUACGGCCGCAAGGCUGAAACUCAAAGGAAUUGACGGGGGCCCGCACAAGCGGUGGAGCAUGUGGUUUAAUUCGACGCAACGCGAAGAACCUUACCAGGUCUUGACAUCCCCUGCCAGUCGUAGAAAUACGACCUUCUCCUUUGUGGAGACAGGGAGACAGGUGGUGCAUGGUUGUCGUCAGCUCGUGUCGUGAGAUGUUGGGUUAAGUCCCGCAACGAGCGCAACCCCUACCUUUAGUUGCCAGCAAGUAAAGUUGGGCACUCUGGAGGGACUGCCGUUGACAAAACGGAGGAAGG
Molecule: ribosomal RNA, 869 nt
Filed under: uncultured Peptococcaceae bacterium
Lineage: Bacteria; Bacillati; Bacillota; Clostridia; Eubacteriales; Peptococcaceae
Description: bacterial SSU rRNA
Rfam family: Bacterial small subunit ribosomal RNA
Source: RNAcentral